This 459-nucleotide ribosomal RNA is filed under the name Staphylococcus aureus. RNAcentral describes it as "partial 23S ribosomal RNA". It matches the Rfam family "Bacterial large subunit ribosomal RNA", at positions 1 to 453 of the family's 2925-position model. The record is from RNAcentral. Lineage: Bacteria; Bacillati; Bacillota; Bacilli; Caryophanales; Staphylococcaceae.
GAUUAAGUUAUUAAGGGCGCACGGUGGAUGCCUUGGCACUAGAAGCCGAUGAAGGACGUUACUAACGACGAUAUGCUUUGGGGAGCUGUAAGUAAGCUUUGAUCCAGAGAUUUCCGAAUGGGGAAACCCAGCAUGAGUUAUGUCAUGUUAUCGAUAUGUGAAUACAUAGCAUAUCAGAAGGCACACCCGGAGAACUGAAACAUCUUAGUACCCGGAGGAAGAGAAAGAAAAUUCGAUUCCCUUAGUAGCGGCGAGCGAAACGGGAAGAGCCCAAACCAACAAGCUUGCUUGUUGGGGUUGUAGGACACUCUAUACGGAGUUACAAAGGACGACAUUAGACGAAUCAUCUGGAAAGAUGAAUCAAAGAAGGUAAUAAUCCUGUAGUCGAAAAUGUUGUCUCUCUUGAGUGGAUCCUGAGUACGACGGAGCACGUGAAAUUCCGUCGGAAUCUGGGAGGAC